This 1959-nucleotide ribosomal RNA is filed under the name marine metagenome. Its description in RNAcentral is "bacterial LSU rRNA". It matches the Rfam family "Bacterial large subunit ribosomal RNA", at positions 506 to 2568 of the family's 2925-position model. The record is from RNAcentral.
AGGGAAAGGUGAAAAGAACCCCUAUUAGGGGAGUGAAAUAGAACCUGAAACUGCAUGCCUACAAUCAGUCCGAGCCCUUUUUAGGGUGAGGGCGUACCUUUUGUAUAAUGGGUCAGUGACUUAAUUUAUUAAGCAAGCUUAAGCCAUCUAGGUGUAGGCGCAGCGAAAGCAAGUCUUAAUAGGGCGAUUAGUUUAAUGAAUUAGACCCGAAAACGAAUGAGCUUACCAUGAGCAGGUUGAAAGUUGGGUAACACCAACCGGAGGACCGAACCAGUUGACGUUGAAAAGUCUUUGGAUGACUUGUGGUAAGGGGUGAAAGGCCAACCAAAUUCGUAGAUAGCUGGUUUUCCGCGAAAACUAUUUAGGUAGUGCGUUGAAUAAAUAGAUGUUUAGAGGUAGAGCACUAAAUGGGCUAGGGGGAAGAGAUUCUUACCAAACCUAAUAAAACUCCGAAUGCUAGACAUUGUUCUUCAACAGACAGACUGUGGGUGCUAAGGUCCAUGGUCGAGAGGGAAAGAGCCCAGACCACCAGAUAAGGUCCCCAAAUUAUGAUUAAGUGUGAAAGGAUGUGGAAAUUCCUUAACAGCCGGGAGGUUGGCUUAGAAGCAGCCAUCCUUUAAAGAUAGCGUAACAGCUCACCGGUCUAAUAGAGUUUCUGCGCCGAAGAUGUAACGGGGCUAAAAUCAUGUACCGAAUCUGUGGCUUUGCAAAGUUUUCGAACUUUGUAAGGGGUAGCGGAACGUUCUGUAAGCCUGUGAAGGGAUACCCGUGAGGGAUCCUGGAGGUAUCAGAAGUGCGAAUGCUGACAUAAGUAACGAUAAAAGAAGUGAAAAACUUCUUCGCCGAAAAUCCAAGGGUUUCUGCGCAAGGUUAAUCCGCGCAGAGUUAGUCGGCACCUAAGGCGAGGGCGAAAGCCGUAGUCGAUGGAAACAAGGUUAAUAUUCCUUGACCUGAUGGUAGUGACGGAUUUCGUAAGUUGUGAGUUCUUAAUGGAUUGAACUUGCCGCGAAGAGGUCCCAAGAAAUAGCUCCAUCAUGAAGACCGUACCCGAAACCGACACAGGUAGAUUAAUAGAGUAUAUUUAGGCGCUUGAGAGAAUGAUGUUGAAGGAACUCGGCAAAAUGCUUCCGUAACUUCGGGAUAAGGAAGACCCUUUUGUAGGCAACUAUAGAAGGGUGGCACAAGCCAGGGAGAAGCGACUGUUUAUCAAAAACACAGGGCUCUGCUAACACGUAAGUGGAUGUAUAGGGUCUGACGCCUGCCCGGUGCUGGAAGGUUAAUGCGGUUGGUGCAAGCUAACUUCUGAAGCCCCAGUAAACGGCGGCCGUAACUAUAACGGUCCUAAGGUAGCGAAAUUCCUUGUCGGGUAAGUUCCGACCUGCAUGAAUGGCGUAACGAUUUCUCCGCUGUCUCCAACAUCAACUCAGUGAAAUUGAAUUCUCCGUGAAGAUGCGGAGUUCGCGUAGUUAGACGGAAAGACCCCGUGCACCUUUACUGCAACUUUACAUUGGUAUUAGGAAAAACAUAUUUAGUAUAGGAGGGAGACAUUGAAGCAAAGGCGUCAGCUUUUGUGGAGUCACCAGUGAAAUACCUCUUUUGUUUUUCUUGGUAUCUAACUGAUUGCCGUCAUCCGGCAUCAAGACAUUGUAUGGUGGGUAGUUUGACUGGGGCGGUCGCCUCCCAAAUAGUAACGGAGGCGUGCGAAGGUAGGCUCAGAACGGUCAGAAAUCGUUCGUAGAGUGCAAUGGCAUAAGCCUGCCUGACUGUGAGACUGACAAGUCGAGCAGAGACGAAAGUCGGUCAUAGUGAUCCGGUGGUUCUGAGUGGAAGGGCCAUCGCUCAACGGAUAAAAGGUACGCCGGGGAUAACAGGCUGAUACUGCCCAAGAGUCCAUAUCGACGGCAGUGUUUGGCACCUCGAUGUCGGCUCAUCACAUCCUGGGGCUGGAGCAGGUCCCAA